This 600-nucleotide ribosomal RNA is filed under the name Triticum aestivum (bread wheat). Its description in RNAcentral is "partial small subunit ribosomal RNA". Lineage: Eukaryota; Viridiplantae; Streptophyta; Magnoliopsida; Poales; Poaceae. The record is from RNAcentral.
AUGUACCACAACAUAUAGUCAUUUGGCAAACAAGAUGGUUUGGAUCGUAGUCAUCUGGAGCUCUACUUCUAUGAUGAUGAUCCCAGUUUAGAGCAUAGGUAUCGCAGUUGUCGCAAAGAGCAGUGCCAGAAAGACAAAGAAGUAAUCACACAACUGGUCGACAUACUUCGUGGCAACCCAUACUCUGAACACCUCCGUAGUAUGGGGCAUGUUGAUGAUGUGGAUGACUAUCACAUAACACUUAACCUUGACCAAAGGAUGGAUCAGAGAAGAUAUAAUGCGCCGACCACUUCAGAACUAGCAGCUGUGUGGGUGGAGGGCAGUGAUUGUCGAAGACAGUUUGGUAAUAGUGUCAUCCUGCAUGGGAAGAAUAGAGAUAUAUAUGGAAUCAAGUCCUAUCAUGGAUGCUAUGAUGCGUUGUCGUACCCUCUAUUCUUCCCUAGAGGCGAACUUGGGUGGCAUACUGAUAUCCCGAAGGAAGGUGUGUCCUAUGAAACUGUGAUGGCAGCUCGUGCAGCCCAUCUAGCUCGUGGUCAUAGUGAUGAGUCCUCUAAUCCUGGUGAUACAGAUGAUGAGGACGAGGAUGAUAAUGUAGGUUAG